RNAcentral lists this ribosomal RNA (484 nucleotides) under uncultured bacterium. RNAcentral describes it as "partial 16S ribosomal RNA". It matches the Rfam family "Bacterial small subunit ribosomal RNA", at positions 30 to 507 of the family's 1533-position model. The record is from RNAcentral.
AUUGAACGCUGGCGGCAGGCCUAACACAUGCAAGUCGAGCGGAUGAAGGGAGCUUGCUCCUGGAUUCAGCGGCGGACGGGUGAGUAAUGCCUAGGAAUCUGCCUGGUAGUGGGGGAUAACGUCCGGAAACGGGCGCUAAUACCGCAUACGUCCUGAGGGAGAAAGUGGGGGAUCUUCGGACCUCACGCUGUCAGAUGAGCCUAGGUCGGAUUAGCUAGUUGGUGGGGUAAGGGCCUACCAAGGCGACGAUCCGUAACUGGUCUGAGAGGAUGAUCAGUCACACUGGAACUGAGACACGGUCCAGACUCCUACGGGAGGCAGCAGUGGGGAAUAUUGGACAAUGGGCGAAAGCCUGAUCCAGCCAUGCCGCGUGUGUGAAGAAGGUCUUCGGAUUGUAAAGCACUUUAAGUUGGGAGGAAGGGCAGUAAGUUAAUACCUUGCUGUUUUGACGUUACCAACAGAAUAAGCACCGGCUAACUUCGUG